This 253-nucleotide ribosomal RNA is filed under the name uncultured bacterium. RNAcentral describes it as "partial 16S ribosomal RNA". It matches the Rfam family "Bacterial small subunit ribosomal RNA", at positions 524 to 776 of the family's 1533-position model. The record is from RNAcentral.
UACGUAGGGGGCGAGAGUUGUCCGGAUUUACUGGGUGUAAAGGGUGCUCAGGUGGAUUUGUAAGUCAGAGGUGAAAUCCCAAAGCUCAACUUUGGAGCUGCCUUUGAUACUGCAAGUCUGGAGUUUGGGAGAGGGUAAUGGAAUAUCUGGUGUAGCAGUGAAAUGCGUAGAUAUCAGAUAGAACACCAAUGGCGAAGGCAGUUGCCUGGCCCAAAACUGACGCUAAAGCACGAAAGUGCGGGGAGCAAACAGG